CCUGCGGAGGGAUCAUUACUGAGUUUACAACUCCCAAACCCCUGUGAACAUACCUAUCGUUGCUUCGGCGGAUCCGCCCCGGCGCCCUCGGGCCCGGAUCAGGCGCCCGCCGGAGACCCAAACUCUUGUAUUUCUUUAGUAUCUUCUGAGUAAACAAGCAAAUAAAUUAAAACUUUCAACAACGGAUCUCUUGGUUCUGGCAUCGAUGAAGAACGCAGCGAAAUGCGAUAAGUAAUGUGAAUUGCAGAAUUCCGUGAAUCAUCGAAUCUUUGAACGCACAUUGCGCCCGCCAGUAUUCUGGCGGGCAUGCCUGUUCGAGCGUCAUUUCAACCCUCAAGCCCCCGGGCUUGGUGUUGGGGCUCGGCCCGUCCCUCGUGGCGCGCCGUCCCCGAAAUCUAGUGGCGGUCACGCUGUACUCCUCUGCGUAGUAAUCUAACCUCGCAACGGGACAAAGCCUGGCCACGCCGUUAAACCCCCCACUUCUGAAGGUUGACC
RNAcentral lists this ribosomal RNA (495 nucleotides) under Fusarium sp. ZJLQ162. Its description in RNAcentral is "eukaryotic LSU rRNA". The stretch from base 171 to 324 matches the Rfam family "5.8S ribosomal RNA". Lineage: Eukaryota; Fungi; Ascomycota; Sordariomycetes; Hypocreales; Nectriaceae. The record is from RNAcentral. RNAcentral also lists the same sequence under 1 other name.